UACGUAGGGUGCGAGCGUUAAUCGGAAUUACUGGGCGUAAAGCGUGCGCAGGCGGUUUGCUGUGUCCGUCGUGAAAGCCCCGGGCUUAACCUGGGAAUGGCGAUGGAAACUGGCGAGCUGGAGUGCGGCAGAGGGGGGUGGAAUUCCGCGUGUAGCAGUGAAAUGCGUAGAGAUGCGGAGGAACACCGAUGGCGAAGGCAGCCCCCUGGGUCGACACUGACGCUCAGGCACGAAAGCGUGGGGAGCAAACAGG
Molecule: ribosomal RNA, 253 nt
Filed under: uncultured prokaryote
Description: partial 16S ribosomal RNA
Rfam family: Bacterial small subunit ribosomal RNA
Source: RNAcentral